This 826-nucleotide ribosomal RNA is filed under the name Pezicula cinnamomea. RNAcentral describes it as "eukaryotic LSU rRNA". It matches the Rfam family "Eukaryotic large subunit ribosomal RNA", at positions 76 to 919 of the family's 3401-position model. The record is from RNAcentral. Lineage: Eukaryota; Fungi; Ascomycota; Leotiomycetes; Helotiales; Dermateaceae.
UACCUUAGUAACGGCGAGUGAAGCGGUAACAGCUCAAAUUUGAAAUCUGGGUCUUUUAGGCUCCGAGUUGUAAUUUGUAGAAGAUGCUUUGGGUGCGGCCCCGGUCUAAGUUCCUUGGAACAGGACGUCAUAGAGGGUGAGAAUCCCGUAUGUGAUCGGUGGCUUGCGCCCGUGUAAAGCUCUUUCGACGAGUCGGGUUGUUUGGGAAUGCAGCUCUAAAUGGGUGGUAAAUUUCAUCUAAAGCUAAAUAUUGGCCAGAGACCGAUAGCGCACAAGUAGAGUGAUCGAAAGAUGAAAAGCACUUUGGAAAGAGAGUUAAACAGUACGUGAAAUUGUUGAAAGGGAAGCGCUUGCAACCAGACUUGCGCGGGGUUGAUCAUCCGGGGUUCUCCCCGGUGCACUCGGCCUCGCUCAGGCCAGCAUCGGUUUUGGUGGUUGGAUAAAGGCCUUGGGAAUGUGACUUCUUUCGGGGAGUGUUAUAGCCCUCGGUGCAAUGCAGCCUACCGGGACCGAGGACCGCGCUUCGGCUAGGAUGCUGGCGUAAUGGUUGUAAGCGACCCGUCUUGAAACACGGACCAAGGAGUCUAACAUCUAUGCGAGUGUUUGGGUGUCAAACCCAUACGCGUAAUGAAAGUGAACGGAGGUGAGAACCCUUAAGGGUGCAUCAUCGACCGAUCCUGAUGUCUUCGGAUGGAUUUGAGUAAGAGCAUAGCUGUUGGGACCCGAAAGAUGGUGAACUAUGCCUGAAUAGGGUGAAGCCAGAGGAAACUCUGGUGGAGGCUCGCAGCGGUUCUGACGUGCAAAUCGAUCGUCAAAUUUGGGCAUA